RNAcentral lists this ribosomal RNA (706 nucleotides) under Klebsiella variicola. RNAcentral's name for it is "bacterial LSU rRNA". It matches the Rfam family "Bacterial large subunit ribosomal RNA", at positions 2242 to 2925 of the family's 2925-position model. The record is from RNAcentral. Lineage: Bacteria; Pseudomonadati; Pseudomonadota; Gammaproteobacteria; Enterobacterales; Enterobacteriaceae.
GGGUUGCGGACAGUGUCUGGUGGGUAGUUUGACUGGGGCGGUCUCCUCCCAAAGAGUAACGGAGGAGCACGAAGGUUAGCUAAUCCUGGUCGGACAUCAGGAGGUUAGUGCAAUGGCAUAAGCUAGCUUGACUGCGAGCGUGACGGCGCGAGCAGGUGCGAAAGCAGGUCAUAGUGAUCCGGUGGUUCUGAAUGGAAGGGCCAUCGCUCAACGGAUAAAAGGUACUCCGGGGAUAACAGGCUGAUACCGCCCAAGAGUUCAUAUCGACGGCGGUGUUUGGCACCUCGAUGUCGGCUCAUCACAUCCUGGGGCUGAAGUAGGUCCCAAGGGUAUGGCUGUUCGCCAUUUAAAGUGGUACGCGAGCUGGGUUUAGAACGUCGUGAGACAGUUCGGUCCCUAUCUGCCGUGGGCGCUGGAGAAUUGAGGGGGGCUGCUCCUAGUACGAGAGGACCGGAGUGGACGCAUCACUGGUGUUCGGGUUGUCAUGCCAAUGGCACUGCCCGGUAGCUAAAUGCGGAAGAGAUAAGUGCUGAAAGCAUCUAAGCACGAAACUUGCCCCGAGAUGAGUUCUCCCUGAGACUUUAAGUCUCCUGAAGGAACGUUGAAGACGACGACGUUGAUAGGCCGGGUGUGUAAGCGCAGCGAUGCGUUGAGCUAACCGGUACUAAUGAACCGUGAGGCUUAACCUUACAACGCCGAAGCUGUU